AUCUAACUCUGGGCCUUUUGGCUAAGAUCAAACAUAGUAUCUGUUCUUAUCAGUUUAAUUUCUUCUGAUGGACACUUGCGACACCUGCUCUGAAGAUGAAUUCUCCUGCUGCUAUUUUUGAAAAAAAUCGAUGCUGCUUUGAAGAUGUAUUCCACUGCUGCUACUUUGGAAGAAAAUCCU
RNAcentral lists this small nuclear RNA (180 nucleotides) under Chelydra serpentina (North American snapping turtle). Its description in RNAcentral is "U2 spliceosomal RNA (ENSCSRG00000004838.1)". It matches the Rfam family "U2 spliceosomal RNA". Rfam says of the family: U2 is a small nuclear RNA (snRNA) component of the spliceosome (involved in pre-mRNA splicing). Complementary binding between U2 snRNA (in an area lying towards the 5' end but 3' to hairpin I) and the branchpoint sequence (BPS) of the intron results the bulging out of an unpaired adenosine, on the BPS, which initiates a nucleophilic attack at the intronic 5' splice site, thus starting the first of two transesterification reactions that mediate splicing. Lineage: Eukaryota; Metazoa; Chordata; Testudines; Chelydridae. The record is from Rfam by way of RNAcentral.